Molecule: long non-coding RNA, 2115 nt
Organism: Monodelphis domestica (gray short-tailed opossum)
Lineage: Eukaryota; Metazoa; Chordata; Mammalia; Didelphimorphia; Didelphidae
Source: Ensembl
UGUGGGGGGUCUUGGGGAAUCAGUGGGAAACAGACCCCUUGGGGAGCAAGUUCUGGAUGUCUUGAGGAGUCAGCAUGUUGGAGACAAUGGACUCCCAAUCAAGGACAGGCUCUAUGGGUGCUGGGGAGUCAUCAGGGGAGAGAAAUAAAGAGGGGCAGAGUCUACAAGCCCCUAGGAAGUAAAUAGUAGUUGAGAUACAGAGAUCUUUAAGGAGGAGGUAGCCCCCUGCAGAGGGGAAGAGCAUGAGGGUUAUAGGAGGAUGAGCAGAGGGUAGGUACGUGCAAUUUUAUAGAGGGAAAUUGUCUGUCUCUGGAGUUAGUGUGAUGGAGGCCCAGUGCCCCUUUGUCAGUGGGAAGUUGUGAAUGGGCUGGCAAGUUAGGAGAUCUAGAGGUUUGGAGCAGAGCCUGAGGAGACCUUGGGAAGUCAAUGUGGGGAGAAACAGACACACUGGGGAAGGGCCUGCUAUAUGGGCCUACUAUGUGCAGGCCCUGUGCUAAGUGCUUUAUGCUAUCUCAUUUGAUUCUCACAAUUAUCUUCAUGUUUUUACACAUGAGUAAAUUGAGGCAGACAGAUGAAAUAACUUGUCUGGGGUAACUCAACUAGUAAAUGUCUAAGGCAGGGGGAGGAAGAGUGAGAACCCUGUGUAGGGGAUAGCUUUGGGGGAGACUAGGGAUUUGGUGAGGGACACAGAACUUUUGUGGUGGACGAUGUGGGCAACUUAAGAGUUAUUGAGGGGAGACCCAGACGAAUGGCCAGCUGCUGUGGGAGUCUGGAGGGUCCCUAUGGAGAAGAGUUUUGGAUUGUCUACGCCAUGCAUCUCUGGUCACGACAUGGAGAAUGUGGAACUACACCACUGCUCAGAGGACCUGAGAUCUCAGCGGAAUGGAGGACUCCCAACGGACAGACAACUUUAGGAGGUGAGUGGGAGAAUAAGGCCUGGAACUGGCCGUGGGAUUUCACUUGGUAUAGGGAACUGCCAGGUAGGGAAAUUCUCUCCCACUGAAGGUCAGCAACUUCUCUCCAAUGGGUAGUCUUUGACAAGUGGCCAGGGACAUUGAUCGGUUAAGUAACUUGUUUUAGGUGAUGUAGGCAUCAGAGAUGACACUUGAAUGCACCAUAUAUUCCUGACUUUGAGGAUAGCUCUCUACCUCGUAUUCUACACUGCCUCUCAGGGUGGUACAGUCAGUAGUCCAAGUAGCAUUAGUCCUAUUUUACCAGUGAAGAACCUUUCCAAACAAGGCCACCCAGCUCAUAAGUGUUAGAACUGGGACUCUAACACUGAUCUCCUCAUUUCAAAUUCAGAGUUCUUUCUAAUACAACAACCACACUGGCUUCCCAUGAGUGCAAUAUAGGGAGGAAUACCUGGGACAGUCUGGUUUGUUACAUUUCGUAUGACCGAAUUCCUCCUGUCCUCUUGGUACCUGAAAGGAGUGGUUUUCAGACUCUGAAAUCCUUUCUCCCCCUAGGCCAAAGGAGGGGUAGUGCGGCCUUGACAAUCCUGGCUGAGCAACAGUUUGGGGUGCAUUCUCUUCAGGAUUCAUUUUGUACAUGAUUUGGAGCAAAUAUUUCCUGGUCACCUCAGUGAGAAAUGUCAAAAGAUGAGCCAUUUGUCCACCUCGAAGGACCAUUGCAAAAUCCACAGUGGCCAACACAAAGCAUUUUGGGUUGUUUCAGUCCUUACUGCUGCCAGUUUUCCAUUUCACAACUCAAGGGACUUCUGGCCAGCACAGUGAGAGUGGAUUAUGAGUCCCUCAGAAGGUCCCUUUAUUUGUUUUCACCUUCACCUGUUCACCAAUGGCAGGUAGUUUGUUUCUGAUUUUUUUGUUAUGGCAAAAAGUGCUGCUCUGUGUAUGGAUUUAUGUAUUCUCUACAGGUGGGGCUUUCAUUGUUGUUUGUCACAUCCCUAGGGCAUAAACUCAAAUGCCAGGUUGGAAGUUGUUUUUCUUGAAUUCUAACUUGUUUUCCCAUAUGAUUGGACUAACUCAACAACUAAAUAUGACAGCAACAGUUCUCAGGGUGUGAUCUGAGGAUCCCCAGGGUUCACCAAGAACCAUAAAAGUCUUUUUAGGGAUCUCAAGUAGCAACAAUAAACUCCACCACACAGUGGGUAGAGCA